Molecule: long non-coding RNA, 825 nt
Organism: Helicoverpa armigera (cotton bollworm)
Lineage: Eukaryota; Metazoa; Arthropoda; Insecta; Lepidoptera; Noctuidae
Exons: 2
Source: RefSeq, a predicted model, not a curated record
UAUUUAAUCAGCAUUUAUUUGUGCUUUUCUUAAUAAUUAUGCAUUAAAGAAGUCAGCGUCGUUGAUUAUAAAUUAAUGAAGAGUCGUUUUAUUAGUUAAGUCUUAAGUUUGUAUAAUUAAUAACCAUGUGUGAUUCAUAACCUCGCACGACUGCAUAGAAUAAUGCAGUGUGCAGUCUUCUUCCGAUCUCCGGUUAUAAUAAAUAGAUUAAAGAAUGAUAAAUCCUAAUCACUUCCGAUUUCAAAAUACCAUCGAUAAGUUUUUUGGUGUUUACUUUUAUCACCUUUGAGCAACGGCACCGACUGAUAAGAUUAUUUGGUUAGGUUGCCACGCGGGCUGAGCCUUGUAGAAAAGCAAAUAAUCAUACUGCCGAAAUCAAUACUUGUCCUUAUCUGCUACUUUAAGUACGUAUUAAUCUAGAUAAAAUGAUGACAAUAACACGAGCCGAAAAGUGUUAAUAUGAUUAACACGUGAUAUUAAAUGAUAGGGCUGAUAUCUACGCUGGUCAUUACAAUGAACCCUUAUCUUUAGUCAUCUGCUUAUAAUCUAUUAUCUUCCAUCUUUACAGAUGUUACCAGAAUCCUGUCAUGGCAGAAAAGGAAAAACAGGUAUGUAGGAGCUAGGGGCAGGCAGGAAAGGGCCAUUUAACAUGAGACAAUUAGUAAGAAUUUUAAUUAAGUAGGUGUUUUGAAUAUUCGAUGAUUCUUCUUCGGUCUUCACACAUUUUUUGCUUGUAUCCCAAAAUUCUUGCUAAUUCUUUUCAUGAAAAUUGUGUUUGUUAAAAGUGAAAAUAGUAUUUUGAUGUAAAUAAAGAUUUUUACAUAU